UCGCUUACAGAUGGGCCCGCGGUGCAUUAGCUAGUUGGUAGGGUAAUGGCCUACCAAGGCAACGAUGCAUAGCCGACCUGAGAGGGUGAUCGGCCACACUGGGACUGAGACACGGCCCAGACUCCUACGGGAGGCAGCAGUAGGGAAUCUUCCGCAAUGGACGAAAGUCUGACGGAGCAACGCCGCGUGUAUGAAGAAGGUUUUCGGAUCGUAAAGUACUGUUGUUAGAGAAGAACAAGGAUAAGAGUAACUGCUUGUCCCUUGACGGUAUCUAACCAGAAAGCCACGGCUAACUACGUGCCAGCAGCCGCGGUAAUACGUAGGUGGCAAGCGUUGUCCGGAUUUAUUGGGCGUAAAGCGCGCGCAGGCGGUCUUUUAAGUCUGAUGUGAAAGCCCCCGGCUUAACCGGGGAGGGUCAUUGGAAACUGGAAGACUGGAGUGCAGAAGAGGAGAGUGGAAUUCCACGUGUAGCGGUGAAAUGCGUAGAUAUGUGGAGGAACACCAGUGGCGAAGGCGACUCUCUGGUCUGUAACUGACGCUGAGGCGCGAAAGCGUGGGGAGCAAACAGGAUU
RNAcentral lists this ribosomal RNA (572 nucleotides) under Listeria monocytogenes. RNAcentral's name for it is "bacterial SSU rRNA". It matches the Rfam family "Bacterial small subunit ribosomal RNA", at positions 215 to 779 of the family's 1533-position model. The record is from RNAcentral. Lineage: Bacteria; Bacillati; Bacillota; Bacilli; Caryophanales; Listeriaceae.